Molecule: ribosomal RNA, 253 nt
Filed under: uncultured bacterium
Lineage: Bacteria
Description: partial 16S ribosomal RNA
Rfam family: Bacterial small subunit ribosomal RNA
Source: RNAcentral
UACGUAGGUGACAAGCGUUGUCCGGAUUUACUGGGCGUAAAGAGCGCGCGGGCGGUCGUUCAAGUCGAGUGUGAAAGCCCCCGGCUCAACUGGGGAGGGUCAUUCGAUACUGAUCGACUGGAAGGCAGGAGAGGGAAGCGGAAUUCCCGGUGUAGUGGUGAAAUGCGUAGAUAUCGGGAGGAACACCAGUGGCGAAGGCGGCUUCCUGGCCUGUUCUUGACGCUGAGGCGCGAAAGCUAGGGGAGCAAACGGG